This 564-nucleotide ribosomal RNA is filed under the name Colletotrichum sp. 1 ONH-2014. Its description in RNAcentral is "eukaryotic LSU rRNA". The stretch from base 203 to 356 matches the Rfam family "5.8S ribosomal RNA". Lineage: Eukaryota; Fungi; Ascomycota; Sordariomycetes; Glomerellales; Glomerellaceae. The record is from RNAcentral.
UAACCUGCGGAGGGAUCAUUACUGAGUUACCGCUCUAUAACCCUUUGUGAACAUACCUAACCGUUGCUUCGGCGGGCAGGGGAAGCCUCUCGCGGGCCUCCCCUCCCGGCGCCGGCCCCACCACGGGGACGGGGCGCCCGCCGGAGGAAACCAAACUCUAUUUACACGACGUCUCUUCUGAGUGGCACAAGCAAAUAAUUAAAACUUUUAACAACGGAUCUCUUGGUUCUGGCAUCGAUGAAGAACGCAGCGAAAUGCGAUAAGUAAUGUGAAUUGCAGAAUUCAGUGAAUCAUCGAAUCUUUGAACGCACAUUGCGCUCGCCAGCAUUCUGGCGAGCAUGCCUGUUCGAGCGUCAUUUCAACCCUCAAGCACCGCUUGGUUUUGGGGCCCCACGGCACACGUGGGCCCUUAAAGGUAGUGGCGGACCCUCCCGGAGCCUCCUUUGCGUAGUAACUAACGUCUCGCACUGGGAUUCGGAGGGACUCUUGCCGUAAAACCCCCCAAUUUUUUACAGGUUGACCUCGGAUCAGGUAGGAAUACCCGCUGAACUUAAGCAUAUCAAA